GACGAACGCUGGCGGCGUGCUUAACACAUGCAAGUCGAACGGAAAGGCCCUGCUUUUGUGGGGUGCUCGAGUGGCGAACGGGUGAGUAACACGUGAGUAACCUGCCCUUGACUUUGGGAUAACUUCAGGAAACUGGGGCUAAUACCGGAUAGGAGCUCCUGCUGCAUGGUGGGGGUUGGAAAGUUUCGGCGGUUGGGGAUGGACUCGCGGCUUAUCAGCUUGUUGGUGGGGUAGUGGCUUACCAAGGCUUUGACGGGUAGCCGGCCUGAGAGGGUGACCGGACACAUUGGGACUGAGAUACGGCCCAGACUCCUACGGGAGGCAGCAGUGGGGAAUAUUGCACAAUGGGCGGAGGCCUGAUGCAGCAACGCCGCGUGCGGGAUGACGGCCAUCGGGUUGUAAACCGCUUUCGCCUGUGACGAAGCGUGAGUGACGGUAAUGGGUAAAGAAGCACCGGCUAACUACGUG
This 468-nucleotide ribosomal RNA is filed under the name uncultured bacterium. RNAcentral's name for it is "partial 16S ribosomal RNA". It matches the Rfam family "Bacterial small subunit ribosomal RNA", at positions 28 to 507 of the family's 1533-position model. The record is from RNAcentral.